UAGGGAAUCUUCGGCAAUGGACGGAAGUCUGACCGAGCAACGCCGCGUGAGUGAAGAAGGUUUUCGGAUCGUAAAGCUCUGUUGUAAGAGAAGAACGAGUGUGAGAGUGGAAAGUUCACACUGUGACGGUAUCUUACCAGAAAGGGACGGCUAACUACGUGCCAGCAGCCGCGGUAAUACGUAGGUCCCGAGCGUUGUCCGGAUUUAUUGGGCGUAAAGCGAGCGCAGGCGGUUAGAUAAGUCUGAAGUUAAAGGCUGUGGCUUAACCAUAGUACGCUUUGGAAACUGUUUAACUUGAGUGCAAGAGGGGAGAGUGGAAUUCCAUGUGUAGCGGUGAAAUGCGUAGAUAUAUGGAGGAACACCGGUGGCGAAAGCGGCUCUCUGGUCUGUAACUGACGCUGAGGCUCGAAAGCGUGGGGAGCGAACAGGAUUAGAUACCCUGGUAGUCCACGCCGUAAACGAUGAGUGCUAGGUGUUAGACCCUUUCCGGGGUUUAGUGCCGCAGCUAACGCAUUAAGCACUCCGCCUGGGGAGUACGACCGCAAGGUUG
RNAcentral lists this ribosomal RNA (550 nucleotides) under uncultured bacterium. Its description in RNAcentral is "bacterial SSU rRNA". It matches the Rfam family "Bacterial small subunit ribosomal RNA", at positions 355 to 896 of the family's 1533-position model. The record is from RNAcentral.